Molecule: ribosomal RNA, 208 nt
Filed under: uncultured bacterium
Lineage: Bacteria
Description: partial 16S ribosomal RNA
Rfam family: Bacterial small subunit ribosomal RNA
Source: RNAcentral
AGCGCAGACGGUUAUUUAAGUCUGAAGUGAAAGCCCUCAGCUCAACUGAGGAAUGGCUUUGGAAACUGGAUGACUUGAGUGCAGUAGAGGAAAGUGGAACUCCAUGUGUAGCGGUGAAAUGCGUAGAUAUAUGGAAGAACACCGGUGGCGAAAGCGGCUCUCUGGUCUGUAACUGACACUGAGGCUCGAAAGGCGUGGGGAGCAAACA